This 781-nucleotide ribosomal RNA is filed under the name Shigella flexneri. RNAcentral's name for it is "partial 23S ribosomal RNA". It matches the Rfam family "Bacterial large subunit ribosomal RNA", at positions 2034 to 2814 of the family's 2925-position model. Lineage: Bacteria; Pseudomonadati; Pseudomonadota; Gammaproteobacteria; Enterobacterales; Enterobacteriaceae. The record is from RNAcentral.
CAGUGAAAUUGAACUCGCUGUGAAGAUGCAGUGUACCCGCGGCAAGACGGAAAGACCCCGUGAACCUUUACUAUAGCUUGACACUGAACAUUGAGCCUUGAUGUGUAGGAUAGGUGGGAGGCUUUGAAGUGUGGACGCCAGUCUGCAUGGAGCCGACCUUGAAAUACCACCCUUUAAUGUUUGAUGUUCUAACGUGGACCCGUGAUCCGGGUUGCGGACAGUGUCUGGUGGGUAGUUUGACUGGGGCGGUCUCCUCCUAAAGAGUAACGGAGGAGCACGAAGGUUGGCUAAUCCUGGUCGGACAUCAGGAGGUUAGUGCAAUGGCAUAAGCCAGCUUGACUGCGAGCGUGACGGCGCGAGCAGGUGCGAAAGCAGGUCAUAGUGAUCCGGUGGUUCUGAAUGGAAGGGCCAUCGCUCAACGGAUAAAAGGUACUCCGGGGAUAACAGGCUGAUACCGCCCAAGAGUUCAUAUCGACGGCGGUGUUUGGCACCUCGAUGUCGGCUCAUCACAUCCUGGGGCUGAAGUAGGUCCCAAGGGUAUGGCUGUUCGCCAUUUAAAGUGGUACGCGAGCUGGGUUUAGAACGUCGUGAGACAGUUCGGUCCCUAUCUGCCGUGGGCGCUGGAGAACUGAGGGGGGCUGCUCCUAGUACGAGAGGACCGGAGUGGACGCAUCACUGGUGUUCGGGUUGUCAUGCCAAUGGCACUGCCCGGUAGCUAAAUGCGGAAGAGAUAAGUGCUGAAAGCAUCUAAGCACGAAACUUGCCCCGAGAUGAGUUCUCC